RNAcentral lists this long non-coding RNA (296 nucleotides) under Phascolarctos cinereus (koala). RNAcentral's name for it is "lncRNA (ENSPCIG00000036626.1)". Lineage: Eukaryota; Metazoa; Chordata; Mammalia; Diprotodontia; Phascolarctidae. The record is from RNAcentral.
CAUUAGACAUCAGCAAGACUUAUGUGUAUGUGUGGUCCACAGAAGUGAAGUAACUUUUCUACAGUCACCAGCAACUUUAAACCACAGACUGGCUGCUAGGGCUCUUCUUGGAGCAGACAAUGACUCUUCAGUCAACAGCCCUCGGGGGUCUACACCAUUAAGAACCUCAUUUAGUUUUCUGGAGAGGAACUCAAAGAUGAGGCGGCAUCUUUCAGCACCCGACUUCCUGAACCUGUCAACCAACAAAGAUCGACUUUAAGAAUAAACUUCUGAGAGCAGCUAAGGCUCUGGAGUAU